GAAAAGGCCAUGUGCACACAGUUUAGGUCAUUAGAAGAGUGUGGCUCCUUCAUAUGCUUGAUGUGGCUAAAGGGCACUACGUGCCAGAGCUGUGUGCCCAUGAAGUGAAGGUUUGUCAAUUGUUAAAUUUAAUUAACAGCAGUUUUGAAAAAGAAGAAAAAAAGAAGUGGAAGGAUGAAAUGCUGGAUGAAAGAGGACAAAGGCUGGGAACCGUGACUGCAAAGCUAGAAUCAGCUGUCAGAUGGAAGAGGAAAGGAUGGCCAUAAGUGCCUUUGGAAGCUGGGACAGGGGGCUACAGGGGUACAAGACCUUCUUGGAGCAAAGACAAUUUGUGCAAACCCAGAGCCUGCAGUGGCACCCAUAGUUGAUGUGGUUGUUACAGGUCUGAUUUUGUUAUGGAGGUUGCCUAGCCUUUGAGAUUGUCUUCAUUUCUGUAUGCAGAAGAAAGAAAUAUUGCACGUGUGUGUGACAAGCUAAUAGUUAUUUGGUUUGGGGUUGUGGCUGGAUCUUAGGCUCAAAUUCUUGUUGUGAUUCGGUCUCUACAUUACUCUAUGGCCUUGAAGCAGGCCUUAUCCAUUCCACCUCAGUAUCCCACCAGUAGAGCUGAUGCUAAUUUCAUGAAUCAGUAAAUGUUUGGAAAAGUCUGACUCUCCUUAAGCAUUAAAUAUCAAUCUCAAGGUGACUGCCUCAGCCCUUAGUUUGGAAUAUGUUAGAAGCUGGAGUAGACUACAAAUAUCUGUUUCACCGUGGAGGCCCAUGGUGUAUUUGGAGGGCUGUAGGUAUGAAGAGCAGGCCUUUCUGCUGGGAAAGAUGCAGCUACCUCCUGCAUCCCAGGAAGGAACUGCAAGACAGUCUUACCAAACUGAGGGCAUGCCUACUUGAACUACAGUGGGUCUCCCCACAUGCUGUGAAUCUCUAACCUGUGGCUCAUCCAAGAUCCCCUCUGGCAGCCAGUUCCAUGCCACUCUGUGCCGAGGCUGAAAAAGGAGAGCUCUUUGUCCUCUGUGUUCUCAAAUGGGUGCUGCCCACCAAAUCUCAACACCUCCAAAGCUCACUUGUGUAUGGAGCCGUCCCUAAGCCUGAGCUACACACCCAGCUGCUUCCUCUAGCCUGCAAUAAUGAAUUUUCAUUGCCGUGGAAUUUAGAUAGGAAUUGCUCUGAUUCUAAAGCUCAUUGGUCACUAAUAAUAAUAACAAUGAAAAGAGCCAUUUCUUAAGGACUAAAAACUAAUCAGCGAAUGUGUAGUUUCUGUGUCUCCUGCAGGUUCUUGUCUUGUGGGGCUGCCAGACUGCCUGUGUCACAUGUCUGCCUGUCUGAUUUCCAACUCAAGCUUUUCAUUUCCUAAAUGAUAACGGAUAAAAGAUGAAAUCUGGCACACACAGGUAAUCUUUGCCAUCUUAAUAUUUGUUAAGCUUUUUGAUUUACUGAGAAGUUAAAGUCACUGCAGGUCACAAAACCUGCACAUUAGAUCUGCUUCAUAAAACACUGUGAGUGAAUGCUUUAGUCAUUCAUUUCACAGUCUUUAAACCAAUGUAGCUGAAGAAUUGCACCUCCGAUUUAUAAAUCUCUCGAUUUAUUUCUGAUUCCAGUUUAUAGGAUGGGAGUAUAUCCAGCUUUCCCCAGCCAUUUGUGCAUAGCUAGAGAAGAAACCUAACAUAUUUCUUGCAUAAUGGAGACUUGAUCCAGCUUACAUUUGUUAAAUCACCCAAAGGGAAAUGUUCUCACUAAGAAACUUUUGCGCACUGUUAAUGUAUCAAAUCUGACCCGUGUUUCAGAUUUCUGCUGUUCUUCUGCAUCUAAUCUUUCUCCCUCCCUACUCCAAUGCACACACUCAUCCCUCCCUUCUGUGGAAGAGAAAUAUGACUGUCAUAGUCUCCCUCUCUCUGUUUUGCACAUCUGCUUCCCACCCUUUUUCUGAAGGAGAUCUAUAACCCACAGAGGAAUCAGAGAUGAUCUGAACCAUUUUGGAUACCUACUGCUAUGGGAUGUGUGGAGGCCCAUGGGCAGCUCAGGUUUCACAUCUGCCAGCUUUUCAGAGGAUGUGAUCAAGGGCAGAAAUAAGCAGAUGAUGAUGAUGACGAUGCUACGGAAACUGGUGUAAAGGAAAUGGGAUCCCUCCUCCCGGAAACGUGUGUGCCCCCUAGCACGUGUCAAGAUCAUUUGGAUGUGGUAGGAAGGCUAACACAAAGGAAAGUGUAUUUUAAAUAAUGCAUUAUUUAAAAAGGAAGCCUCUGUCUUUAAAAUACAGUGUGCGAGUUACUAUCGACUUUAGGUUUGGGCAUGGUCUUUGACCCUGGAGCGCUGGCAGAGUCAAAAAGAGUGAAAUGAGUCAAAGAGUCUGUCAGACAAGGUGAGAUACUGAGCUUGCCUCUGAUCUCACACCAUGUGGUGGUGUAACCCCAUUGCCCUCUGCAGAUUCAUGCAAACAUAUGGAGAGAAAAACCUACCCCAGAAUCAUUCAGUACCAAAACAUACCCUUCUUUUUCUAUGGCAAUGUAAAAGCUUUACAAGAGGAACACAUAAGGUGCCAAAGGGCAAAAUUUUGGCUUGGAUUAAUACUGCUUCCAGCCACCCCAAUGCAGAAACUUCUCUCCAAUUAACUGACCUUGAUGGAUAAAUUCCUCCUUUUUAUCUUCCUCCAACCUUUCCCAUAUUCCAUCUCUUUUUCUCCUUGAUCCUCCUGAUAAAGUCAGGCUGUCCUUCCAACUGUGAUCAGCAGAGCCUUUAGCCGGUGCGUAGCUUACUCUCCAAGGACUCCUGCUGCCAGGGGCUCCUUUCAUUUUCUCUGCAAAUACUUUCUAACAAAUUUAGAAGGCCUUAUUGGGAAAGGAAUGGAAUACAUUUGUGUGUAGUGAUGUAUCUGCUAAACGGUGUGUGCUUUUCUCCAUGCAGUUCUCAAGGGACUUUGAGGCACGUUCUGUGGGCAGAGCACAUGGAAUUGCUCAGAUGUAUUGUUUGCAUAGUGUGAUAUUAUUCUGACUAUCAGAUCCUAAAAGAGAAUUAGGAACACGCACAGUUUUUGGAGACUCCCUGAUCUGAACUGCCCUGCUUAGAGCCUGACUUUGCCCUUGUGUAGUACAAGGCAGGUAAAUGUGUGGCCCUCACAAGGAGGUUCAGAGCUCUACAACCAAGAUUUUAGGCUUCCUCCAUCACCAGUGUGGCCAGGAGAGAGCAAUUCAUCAUAUGGCAUCAGUCAGACUCUUCUGGUAAUUGGUCUUGGGACAAGGCAUUCAGCCCAAAGUCCUUCAUGCAUCUGACUUACCUGGUCAGCCAACUUUCUUUGGAUACUGUGCAAACAACAGCAAGUGGCAGGCUUCAAGUGCAAACUAGACAAACACUGCUGGAGUUGUGAGAGCUCCAACAGCUCACAACUCGGUCCUUCUGUUGUGGGAAGGAGGAUAUUAGUGGAAAACGGCCAGUUGUAGGGAUAUGAGUGGGCAUCUGAGGGUCACUGGCUAUCAGAUAAGGUAGGACCGAUGCGUCAACAAAGGAAUUUUGUCUCUUUGGAUGUGAAGAAGGGAGGCAGAGAGACAAGAACUUCAAGAAAUCUCUUGAUGGAAUAAAGAAGUAUGUGUAUGCUUGCACUAGCACCUAUGCAAAACGUGCCAAUACCAGGUGCUUUACCCUCCUGAAUUGACUGCUGUGCCAUAAAACAACUUUCUGUUUUCUUUUGUCCCUCCAAUAUUCAACAAAGAGACGUUUGUUUGAACCUCCCCAUUCACCUCUGAGCCGUCCAGCUAGGAAAAAAACCCCCGAGAGAUGUGACUGCACAAGCACACAAGGACAAGAAAGCAGGAAAUGUACCAGCUGCUGGGGAAAAAAGAGGAGAAUGAUUGCAGUCCAGGAAGGGCUCUCACUAUUUCUUUUCCACUUGUUUAUUAGUUCAUUGCUCUUUGACAUCUUUCCCCCAGUCACUGCUUCCACUAGAUGUUCUACCGGUUUAACAGCAAGCAAUUACCCUUCCCCUGGCUUUGAAGCUAUUGUUCCUCAGACACUCCAGUCUCUGGGUUCACAACAACUUUGUAUUUUUUAUUAGUCUUAGGUCUCCUGAUUUUUUUGGUAAGUUUUUCUGUUCUUCACAUUUCAGAUAACAGAGGCCAAAUUUGCAUGACCCUGGCCUCAGUUUCUAACAAAGUACUCUACCCUGUCUUCACCGAAUCAUGAGGGUCGGAAGGGACCUCUGAAGAUCAUCUAGUCCAGCCCCUAGUCUUGAGAAUGUUCAAUUCAGCCUUGACAUUUGGCUACUGAAAUUUGGCCCCACUUUUGCAGAAAGGUUUGUAAAUACGAACCCUG
Pezoporus occidentalis (night parrot) is the source of this 4293-nucleotide long non-coding RNA. RefSeq lists it as uncharacterized. The record is from RefSeq and is a predicted model, not a curated record. The transcript is spliced from 3 exons. NCBI's taxonomy places the organism in Eukaryota, Metazoa, Chordata, Aves, Psittaciformes, Psittacidae.